This 253-nucleotide ribosomal RNA is filed under the name uncultured bacterium. RNAcentral's name for it is "partial 16S ribosomal RNA". It matches the Rfam family "Bacterial small subunit ribosomal RNA", at positions 524 to 776 of the family's 1533-position model. The record is from RNAcentral.
UACGUAGGGUGCGAGCGUUGUCCGGAAUUACUGGGCGUAAAGAGCUCGUAGGUGGUUUGUCGCGUUGUUCGUGAAAACCGGGGGCUUAACCCUCGGCGUGCGGGCGAUACGGGCAGACCGGAGUACUGCAGGGGAGACUGGAAUUCCUGGUGUAGCGGUGGAAUGCGCAGAUAUCAGGAGGAACACCGGUGGCGAAGGCGGGUCUCUGGGCAGUAACUGACGCUGAGGAGCGAAAGCGUGGGGAGCGAACAGG